Anser cygnoides (Swan goose) is the source of this 1784-nucleotide long non-coding RNA. The record is from Ensembl. Lineage: Eukaryota; Metazoa; Chordata; Aves; Anseriformes; Anatidae.
CCCGAGCCGCAGCCCCCCACCCUGCGCCUGGCUGGGUGUCACCGCAAGCCCCCUCCUGCCGCCCUGUGCCACAAGGCCCCCAGCCCUGCCAGGCCAGCCCAGCCGCCCCGCGCUGUGUGCCCCCGCUGGGGGGGCAGCGAGCGGUGACUGCCUCUCCCCCCCCAGCUCCACCAGCAGCAGCAGCAGGGCCCUGCGCCCCUGGCCGUGGGGCUGUGGGUGGCUGCAGGGGCUCCCAAGCAGCCCUCCGUGACCGCAGGCUCGGCUGCCCGCGCCUCGCAGGCUCAGCUCCGGGAGAUGCCGCUGGGAGGCUGGGCUGAGGAAGACGAGGAGGAGGAGGAGGAGGAAGAGGAGCAGACGACGGGCUAGCUGCCCAUUGCUCCGGUUCCUGGGUGCACCAACAGCGCCCGGCACCCCCAGGCCCGGGGGAGCUGCUGGAGGGGGCGGCCGGGGCCCGGGCGCCGUGGGGCCGCUCGACGCCGCCUGCUGCAGCCGGGGGCCCGACCGUGGGGACCCCCACUUGGCUGCGUCUCCGUGCCGCUGCCCGGCCUGCGGCGUGGGGCCGGGGCGCUGCCGGGGGCAGCCGGCCCCACCAGGUGCUAUAUUUAUAUGGGGGGCACGGCGCGCCCGGGGCUGCUGCUGUCCCUGCUGCCCACCCGUGCCGGGGCCCCCCCACUGCUGUGGCCAAGCCUGGGGUGACGCAGGACCCCCCUCGGCCCCGGGAGCCCCAGGGGCAAAUAAAGGUUUACAGACUGGUUGUGCUGGAGAGCGCUGCGUGCGCUGCCCCGCCGGGGUGCCGCCGGCUCCGCGUGGGGACCGGGGCAGGGGUGUGGGGGGGGUGGCACUGGGGCGACACCGUGGUUCCGUGGUGUUUUGUGACACGACGCCGGGGUGCGCCGGGAGCUGCUGGUGCUGCUCACCCGCUGCCCCCUCAGCCCCAUCCCUGCCUGCAGGGUGCAGGGGCCGCCGAGGCGCUGCCCGGACCCCAACCCGCAGAUGGUCCCCCCCUGCCGCCCCCGGAGCCCCCCGGGACGCAGGACGCCGUACGGGGUUAUCAAAACUAAACCUUUACCGGGGGCGGGCGCUGCCUGCAGCGGGGGGGCAGCAGCGCAGGGGCACGGGGGGGUCCCCGGCGCGCUCAGGGGGCCGGGCGCGGCGGCCGGCGCUCCUGCAUGGAGAAGGACUGGCUGCGGAUGCGGAAGGCCACCUCCUGCGUGCGGAAGGUGAGGCCGAAGAUGUCCUCGUGGUACCGGUUCUUGUCCUGCGGGGAGGGGGCGGUGAGGACAGCGGCUCCGGGCACCCUCCCCAGGCCCUCCCUGUCCCCGCGCCCCCCCGUCCCUUACCCGCAGCUCGCUGAUGAAGUCCCCCGCCUGCCCCAGCGUCAUGCCGGCCUGCUGCACCAGGAUGUGCUGCACCGUCUGCAGCACCUCGGUGGCCAUCGUCACGUCCCCGCACACGUACAUGUGCCCGGCGCACUGGCACAGCACCCGGUGCACCUCCUCCGCCAGCUGCGUCCGCAGCACGUCCUGCACGUAGGCCUGGGGGCGCGGGGGCUGCGCUGAGACCCGCACGUGGCCCCCGUCCCCGUCCUGUCCCCAUCACGUCCCUGUCCCCGCCCCGUCCCCGUGUCCCUGUCCCCCCUCUGUCCCCACGCCCGCCCCCCCCCCCCCCCCCUGCCCCCCCCCCGCCCCCUCCCCUCCCCCUCUCCCCCCCCCCCCCCCCCCCCCCCCCCCCCCCCCCCCCCUCUCCCCCCCCCCCCCCCCCCCGGGGGGGGAAGGGAGGGGGGG